Molecule: non-coding RNA, 489 nt
Organism: Macaca mulatta (Rhesus monkey)
Lineage: Eukaryota; Metazoa; Chordata; Mammalia; Primates; Cercopithecidae
Source: RefSeq, a predicted model, not a curated record
GGGCGGGAGGGGGGUGGGCGGGUCAGGCGCGCGCGGGCGGCCUCGCGGUUCUCAGGCCUCAGUGCGGCGCGGAAAGCAAGCGGGCGGGCGGAAAACGCGGAGCAACCUCUUCCCCCUCACCCCGCUCCAUCUCUUUUCCUUCCCAGGCCGCAGGUGUCAUUGGUGGGGCGUCCGGGGUUCUCCCACAUCCACCUCCGCGCUGGGCACCUGGUGAUGCUUAUAUCGCGUUUGGUGAAACACAUCCUCCAGCCAUGUUAUGCUUGCAAAGAUGUCUCGGGUCAUUGGGACGGACCGCAGCUUGGAAAGAAUCCACAAGACAGCCACAGGAUGGGAUAUUUUUGCAGUGCCUGAACUGCUGUUUAGAAGGCAUUUGUUAUAAUGUGGGGAAACAUUUAUGUAUUUACAUCCACCAGAAAAACACACUUCAUAAAACUGCCAGUUGUGCUGGCUCACACGUGUAAUCCCAGCACUUUGGGAGGCCAACGCAGG